RNAcentral lists this long non-coding RNA (1514 nucleotides) under Lupinus angustifolius (narrow-leaved blue lupine). Its description in RNAcentral is "long non-coding RNA (LANG_LNC002176)". Lineage: Eukaryota; Viridiplantae; Streptophyta; Magnoliopsida; Fabales; Fabaceae. The record is from RNAcentral.
UUCCAAUGAGUAAUAGUAUGGUAAACUCAAAGGAGUUUCUUUUCUUCGGCCUUCUCCUUUUUGUGUUCCUAUCUUUCCAAGUCUUGGCUCAUCAUGAAGAGAACAAUGCUAAUCAUUUGAGUGGGUUACUUUCUUUGUUAGCUUAUUUCAUACCUAAAAUAGUUAUUGUUUCCAUGUUUUUUCCAACACACACAAAAUAUGAACAAAACAUUUGACCUAGGUUUUUGUUAAUUGAUCUUACACAUAUUAUUAUUAGGACUAGCGUUAGUUAGCACGUAUAUGAGUCUAACAUAACCAUAUGUUAAUCUUUUACAGAUUUUAGAGGUAGAUAGAUAUAUAUGUAACACGGUUUAUUAUUUUUUGAUCCGAAAUAUUAAUAAAAAGAAAUAAAAUUAGGAGAAUAAGUAGUACUCUCAUUCACGUAUAGUUUUUAGAUAACUAACAUAAAUUAAUGCAAGUCGAUCGGUUUAACGCACAUCCUUCAUAUGCAACACGUUUAUUAUAUAUUUAUAUCAUUAUUCAUUAAAUAGAUGAUGCUUAUGAUUUUGAUUGAGUUCAUUAUGAUAAUGAAGAUAAUUUAGGUGAUGGUGGUUAUGGGGAUGAUGCUAAGAAGACUAUUGGUGGUAAUUUAUUGUUUUCAAAAUCCAUCCCCAGAGCACAAUCGAAGUUGAAUUACAUGAGUAAGAUAUAGUAGAAUUUGAGAUUUGUGUAUUUUAUCAUCCUUCCCCAAAAAGAAUUAGGUCGAAUGAGUUUUUAAGGCAAUACAUAGUAUUGUUGAUUUUUAUUUUUAGAAGUUCCCAAAUCAUUAUUAAGAAUUAUUCAACUUAAUUAGCGUUGAUCCUCUAGUUUCACAUAAAACCUUGCGUAGAACUGAAUAUGGUUAUUAUGGUCAAAUAAUAAGGAAAAAUGGUAUAAUCAUUUUACCAAAUUUUAGCAAAAAAUGAGGAAAAUUGAUUCCUUAAGACAAGAAUCAACAUUGAUGAAUUUUAGUCUCAGAACACUAGUGGUAUAAUCAUUCCAUGUGGACUAAUAAAAAUGGUACAAUCAUAUGAUAACCUAGAUUAUUUGGGUGUAGAUAAAAUUUAAAGUAUGUUAUUUAACCUAAAUUAUAUUCAACGUUGUUAAUAGAUAUAUACCUGCAGAGGAUUUUUUAUAUGUGAGUUUUAUAAAUGGUAUUAUAAUGUAAUAUGUUUUAGUUGUUUAAUUCACAAUUAUUAUUAUUUAUUAUUCUAGAUUGAUCAAACUUUGUUUUCAUCUAUUGCAUAUUAUAUGGAUAUAGUUAUGUAACACAUUUGUUAUAUAUCUUCUUACUUCAUUAAAUGGACAUAUGAUUGCAAUUAUGUUUGUGUUGAUUAAGAUAAGAAUAAUUGUUUAGGUGGCGAUGGUCCAGCUGAUGAUGACCCUGAUCCUAGAGAUCGGAAUAAUAAUGAUCUUCUACUUUCACAAAAAUACUUACCUUCAAUUCGAUAUGAAUACAAUGCUCAAUCAUCUAAAAACAAUCCAUCCAAGUUGAG